Molecule: long non-coding RNA, 2071 nt
Organism: Megalops cyprinoides (Indo-Pacific tarpon)
Lineage: Eukaryota; Metazoa; Chordata; Actinopteri; Elopiformes; Megalopidae
Exons: 3
Source: RefSeq, a predicted model, not a curated record
CUCACACAGACUUUGCUCUCAGCUGAGAACUACUGUUUCAUUGUGGAACUAUACACAUCUUGUCCUCGUACUGUCGCUAUACUUACUGUAUGCACUUUUGUACGUUGCUUUGGAUAAAAGCGUAUGCUAAAUAAAUAAAUGUAAAUGUAAAACUGAUAGAAUGACAAAUACAGCAGUAAAAUGGUUAAAUACAAGGACUGAAAAUAAGGAGUUAAAACUCGAACCCUCCCACUUCUGUUCUUGAUUCCUUUUUUUUUUUCAUUUUACAAACUAUGCAAUGUUCUACCAGAUAGACCCACACAUUCUCACACUUUUGAGUCUUAGGAGGUGAACAUGAUAAAAAGCUUAUUAUUAUGAGGUUUGUGAAUGAAUAUGUUCAGGGCCCUUUCACAACACAUUCAUGAAUAAAAACAAGGAGGAGUAAAAAAAUGUCCAUAGUUAAGACUGCAUCUUCGCAAGACCACACAGUUGGACAAACACUAUACUCAAUGUAAAGCACUAUGGGUUGGCUUUCAGUGCAAAAAGACUGCCGUAAGAAAAAAAAAAACAGCACUAUAUACACCCACAAUACAACUACAUAUCAACACAGAAGUAACUACAGUAACUCAUUUUUGUGUGAUAAGUUUUACUGAUUCUCAUUUGUGGUGGAUAAAAACUUCACAAAACGACAAAAACUAUUAUCCACUGUGUAAACACUUUCAAAAGUCCUAUGUAUGACAAAAUACUAAUUUAGCUCUUCCUUUACAUUAAUUCUUGGAGAGUUCAGUAGUACCUUUUAAAGUCAUUGGUCCUCAGAUGCUAAUGUCACACAUUCUGAGCUCUUAGCGAGCUCCUGAUUCUCCUGAUCCCUUUUAGAACUUGACACUGACUGUAAAAUUAUGGCUGUAUGUAAUCAUCAAUUAAUGAUCUAAAUUCACUUUCAGAAUUUCCAUGGGCAAGCUUUUUAUGAAAUGGGUUUCACCGAAUUCCAUCAUUUAUGGUUGACCAGUGAAACGCAUAAUCAAAACACUAGCAGUUGAAGGUUAACUAUCAAUUUAUGUAACCUUGUCAAGAACGUUAGUAAAGUUGUUGAUGGACCUGGGCAGAUCGUUUCAAGUUUUUCCUGUGCCAAGCAAUCAGUAAAGUUUAAUUACCCAAUGUCAACGUCAUGGUGGCAGACUACAUGCACUGAAAAAAUGAAUCUGGGAGAAUGUAAGUGUAACACAAUGAAAUCUGUGAUAUUAAUGAUAAAAUCUAAGUUCAUUACUAAGUUCAUUAGUGUCAGGUUUAGUGAUUAAUCUGCAUUUGUUCAGAAAACAUAAUAUUUUUCACUAUUUCUUUAACAACGUAAUUCCAACCUAUUUUACCAGCUGGUAUUCAGGCACUGGCAGAGGUGUGACAGGCAGAAAUGCCUCGCAGGUUUCAACAUCAGCCCGUCCCUAAACUGUUGCAUAUGCUCUUGAAAUAUCAGGCCACGCUGUGCAUUCUGGUUGUUAUUGUGCACGGGCAAAACCCAUGCACAUGUUGGUGAGACAAGGUGGAGCAGACAGAUGACGACUGAAAAUUUUGAACGUCUUUAGACAGAGCCCUGAAGAGAAGUUGUGAUCCGAGGCCUCCUUACCUUGGAGAGAAGGUGGAGGACUUGAUCAAAGAUAAAGAACAAAGGAUUCCAGGGCCUUCUCUGAAUACCUUGAAGGCCCUGACGGUUUGCCACUGAUGGACACACUCUACACGCAGCGCUGUAGGAGGAAAGCACAGAGCAUCCUCAGCGAUCAUAACCAUCCAGCUCACUCUGCUCAGGUGGAAGAACUCAGGGUACAACCUCAGACACCACAGGCCAGAGAGGUUCACCUUUCACAAGGCAUGCUUUCACAACAGCCUUUUCCCAGCAAUUGUCAGAUUGAUUGCUAAGGACAUUAAGGCAGGAAGGAAAUACCACACCCCCCACCUUACUCACACCAUGGACAAUUAACUCCUCACACACUUGCACCUUACGGACUGGGUUUGUUAAUACUCAAAUACUGUACCCCCUCUCACUCUCCGAGUCUCUGUCAGACGGAGUCUUCCCAGUCCAUUGUUAUUUUCCAUUGUU